AGAGUUUGAUCAUGGCUCAGGAUGAACGCUGGCGGCGUGCUUAACACAUGCAAGUCGAACGGUGAAAGAGAGCUUGCUCUCUGGAUCAGUGGCGAACGGGUGAGUAACACGUGAGCAAUCUGCCCCUGACUCUGGGAUAAGCGCUGGAAACGGCGUCUAAUACCGGAUACGAGCUGCGAAGGCAUCUUCAGCGGCUGGAAAGAACUUCGGUCAGGGAUGAGCUCGCGGCCUAUCAGCUAGUUGGUGAGGUAACGGCUCACCAAGGCGUCGACGGGUAGCCGGCCUGAGAGGGUGACCGGCCACACUGGGACUGAGACACGGCCCAGACUCCUACGGGAGGCAGCAGUGGGGAAUAUUGCACAAUGGGCGAAAGCCUGAUGCAGCAACGCCGCGUGAGGGACGACGGCCUUCGGGUUGUAAACCUCUUUUAGCAGGGAAGAAGCGAAAGUGACGGUACCUGCAGAAAAAGCACCGGCUAACUACGUGCCAGCAGCCGCGGUAAUACGUAGGGUGCAAGCGUUAUCCGGAAUUAUUGGGCGUAAAGAGCUCGUAGGCGGUCUGUCGCGUCUGCUGUGAAAACCCGAGGCUCAACCUCGGGCCUGCAGUGGGUACGGGCAGACUAGAGUGCGGUAGGGGAGAUUGGAAUUCCUGGUGUAGCGGUGGAAUGCGCAGAUAUCAGGAGGAACACCGAUGGCGAAGGCAGAUCUCUGGGCCGUAACUGACGCUGAGGAGCGAAAGGGUGGGGAGCAAACAGGCUUAGAUACCCUGGUAGUCCACCCCGUAAACGUU
RNAcentral lists this ribosomal RNA (789 nucleotides) under uncultured bacterium. Its description in RNAcentral is "bacterial SSU rRNA". It matches the Rfam family "Bacterial small subunit ribosomal RNA", at positions 8 to 810 of the family's 1533-position model. The record is from RNAcentral.